GGCAAGUGGGUCCCACUCGGCCACGCCCUUGCCUCCUGAGCUCCUAGUGGCCGCCGCCCCGCUCCUUGGGCUCCUCAGCCGCUCCUCCUUCCGGUCCCUCCUCAACAAGAUGGCCGGAAGAACCCGCGACGACGCCUGCAGGGCCGCCUGCCUUGGGUACUUGAACGUGUGAAUAACCGGCCAUUCGCGACUCCAGCGGCCCAGGCACACGUUCCCCCCGGGUAGGUGUGUGGAGCGGCCGGGGCGUAGCCACGGCACCAGCCCAGGAGGGAAAGACGGAGAGGUACGGACGUCGCCCGCCAUCUCUCCGGAAGCUCCUGCCGGGCUGGGACCCCGGCGGAAAGUCUUGCCGAGAGGUCGCCCCCUGCCGCCGUGGAGGCCGUCGGCCAGAGCGACCGGAGGCGGAGUUUGCAGCCUGGCAAGGAGAAUGGAGCGCUCCGGGGUUGGGCGGGCGGGGGAGCCGGGAGCCGGGCGCCUAGAAUGGAGUUCCCCCGGGAGGAGCCCGAAGCAGCGUCCUUCCGGGAGCACCCAGGGAAGAACCUGGAGGGGCUGCCGUUGGUUGAAUUUUGUAUAAUUUGACAAGUAUUUAAAACAUUCAAUUAAAAAGAAUCCAUGGGUUCAUAUUACCACAACUACUACACUAAUAUUAAUAUAAAAGGAGAGAGAAGUAAAGAUGCUUUUUCAAAACAGUAGAAUGACAACCAAUAAAUAUAGGAAUUAUAAAAUUGGAAAUCCACCAUUUUGCAGCAAUCGUGGUAAUAAUUGAUUCAGCCAAGAAUCACCAGUGGAAGCUGAAACUAUUAGGUGAAAGACUGGGAAUAGGUUAUUCACACAGUCUUAAAGUAACACCUCCUGGAUUACUUAUUAAUUAUAAAGGGGAAAUUUUUCAGGCAAUGGAGACAUUUGCUGGACAUUGCCUUAGCCAAAAGUCAAACUUAGCAUUUCCAGUAAUAGGACAAACUGAGACUGUGUGCCUCCUGGUGUGAGGAACAGGAAGAACACACAUCAUCUGGGUAGUAUUUCUAAUAGGCUCAACCUGAUUAAUGAAGAAACAAUCAGACAAAUCAAAAUUGAGGAACAUUCUGCAAAGCAAUUGACUUGAGUUCUUAAAAGAUGGCAAUAUCUUUUUUUUUUUUUUUUUUGAGAUAGAGUCUCACUCUGUCUCCCAGGCUGAAGUGCAGUGGUGCGAUCUCGGCUCACUGCAACCUCCGCCUCCCCGGUUCAAGCAAUUCUCCUGCCUCAGCCUCCGAAGUAUCUGGGAUUACAGGCACGUGACACCAUACCCAGCUAAUUUUUGGAUUUUUAGUAGAGCCAGGGUUUCACUAUGUUGGCCAGGGUGGUCUCAAACUCCUGACCUCAAGUGAUCCCGCCUCAGCCUCCCAAAGUGCUGGGAUUACAGGCGUGAGCCACCGCACCCAGCCAAAAGUUGGCAAUAUUGUGAAAGAACAAAGUGAUAGGGCAGCAGUCUGCAGAUCAAAGAAGGGUCAAGAAACUACAACUUACAUGCAUGGUGUGAUUCUGGACUGGAUCUUGGUUUGAGUCUUGGUUUAGGAGGAAAACACAAUUAUAAGAGACAUUAUUGCAAAAGUUGGAUAAAUUUGAAUAUGAACUCAAUAUUAGAUAAUAUAUCAGUUUCCUGGGUGCAAUAAUUUUAUGUAGUUAUGAAGGAGAAUGACUGUUCUUAGGACAUACAGACAAAAGUAUUUACAGGAGAAGUGUCUUGAUGUCUGCAACAAAUUCCCAAAUGGUUCAUAUAUAUGUGUUAUAUAUAUGUUUAUAUAUAUGUAAAUGUAAAUAUAUGUGUGUGUGUAUGUGUAUUCAGAGAGAAAAGCAAAUACAAUGUGACUUUUGAACAAUGUCAGUUAAGCAUUCUGACUAACCCACAUAUACAUUUUGACUCCCCAAAAACUUUACUAAUAGGCUACUGUUGACCAGAAGCCUUACUGAUAAUAUAGUUAUUUUGUAUGUUAUAUGUAUUAUAUACUGUAUUCUUACAAUAAAGUAAGCCAGAGAAAAGAAAAUAUUAAGAAAAUCGUAAUGAAAAUACAUUUACAGUACCGUA
This 2062-nucleotide long non-coding RNA is filed under the name Homo sapiens (human). RNAcentral describes it as "HSALNT0034103". Lineage: Eukaryota; Metazoa; Chordata; Mammalia; Primates; Hominidae. The record is from RNAcentral.